Molecule: long non-coding RNA, 319 nt
Filed under: Brassica napus (rape)
Lineage: Eukaryota; Viridiplantae; Streptophyta; Magnoliopsida; Brassicales; Brassicaceae
Description: long non-coding RNA (BNAP_LNC004243)
Source: RNAcentral
UGAGUGGCGUUGUACCGGUGCAAACCGGUAUCUUUUGUACUUCAUUCUAGAGUAUCGCGUUUAUAUAUGCUAACUGCAAAAUAUAUUUUAGGAUCUUUUUCAAUACUGUUAAAAAGUUAUCAUUCCAUAUCUUUCAAAUAUAGCAUAGAAUCCAUGUGAACUGAUAAUCGUCUACGAUGUUAUUCUCAAAAAUAUACUUAUAAUUCAUACAGGCUAAAGCUAAUUGUAGAGAAAAUUUACAUGGAUUCGUAGGGAUCCUUGAUAAAGUUCAUAUUUGAAUUGUUGAAGAACAUUCAAAGUCAAAUUAUUAUUGUUGUUG